This 729-nucleotide ribosomal RNA is filed under the name uncultured bacterium. Its description in RNAcentral is "bacterial SSU rRNA". It matches the Rfam family "Bacterial small subunit ribosomal RNA", at positions 94 to 813 of the family's 1533-position model. The record is from RNAcentral.
AGUGGCGGACGGGUGAGUAAUGUCUGGGAAACUGCCUGAUGGAGGGGGAUAACUACUGGAAACGGUAGCUAAUACCGCAUAACGUCGCAAGACCAAAGAGGGGGACCUUCGGGCCUCUUGCCAUCGGAUGUGCCCAGAUGGGAUUAGCUUGUUGGUGGGGUAACGGCUCACCAAGGCGACGAUCCCUAGCUGGUCUGAGAGGAUGACCAGCCACACUGGAACUGAGACACGGUCCAGACUCCUACGGGAGGCAGCAGUGGGGAAUAUUGCACAAUGGGCGCAAGCCUGAUGCAGCCAUGCCGCGUGUAUGAAGAAGGCCUUCGGGUUGUAAAGUACUUUCAGCGGGGAGGAAGGGAGUAAAGUUAAUACCUUUGCUCAUUGACGUUACCCGCAGAAGAAGCACCGGCUAACUCCGUGCCAGCAGCCGCGGUAAUACGGAGGGUGCAAGCGUUAAUCGGAAUUACUGGGCGUAAAGCGCACGCAGGCGGUUUGUUAAGUCAGAUGUGAAAUCCCCGGGCUCAACCUGGGAACUGCAUCUGAUACUGGCAAGCUUGAGUCUCGUAGAGGGGGGGUAGAAUUUCCAGGUGUAGCGGUGAAAUGCGUAGAGAUCUGGGAGGAAUACCGGUGGCGAAGGCGGCCCCCCUGGACUAAGACUGACGCUCAGCGUGCGACAGCGCGGGGAGCAAAACAGGAUUAGAUAGCCCGGGGAGUUCCCCGCACUAGAAUGAC